CCUACGGGAGGCAGCAGUAAGGAAUAUUGGUCAAUGGGCGCAAGCCUGAACCAGCCAUGCCGCGUGCAGGAAGACGGCCCUAUGGGUUGUAAACUGCUUUUGAACAAGAGAAAACCUCGGUACGUGUACCGAGCUGAUAGUAUUGUUAGAAUAAGCAUCGGCUAACUUCGUGCCAGCAGCCGCGGUAAGACGAAGGAUGCAAGCGUUAUCCGGAUUCAUUGGAUUUAAAGGGUGCGUAGGCGGCCUGAUAAGUCAGUGGUGAAAUCUCUCAGCUUAACUGAGAAACUGCCAUUGAUACUGUCGGGCUUGAGUACAGAUGAUGUGGGCGGAAUAUGACAUGUAGUGGUGAAAUACUUAGAUAUGUCAUAGAACACCGAUUGCGAAGGCAGCUCACAAAACUGUAAACUGACGCUGAGGCACGAAAGUGCGGGGAUCAAACAGGAUUAGAUACCCUGGUAGUCCGCACCGUAAACGAUGAUUACUCGUUGUUGGCAAUAUGACCGUCAGCGACCAAGCGAAAGCGAUAAGAAUCCACCCUGGGAGUACGCCGGCAACGGUGAAACUUAAAUGAAUUGACCGGNNGAGAGNGCGAGCGACGACGAGGGAGAGG
This 610-nucleotide ribosomal RNA is filed under the name uncultured bacterium. RNAcentral describes it as "bacterial SSU rRNA". It matches the Rfam family "Bacterial small subunit ribosomal RNA", at positions 338 to 946 of the family's 1533-position model. The record is from RNAcentral.